GGAGACUGAUUUGGAAGCAGAACUCCGACAUGAAGCAAGCGAGGGCGAGAAUACGGCAACGGGGACACAACAGCACGAGCAGGUUCAACGCUUUAUCGAACAACACCGAAGGAAGGAAGAAACAAAUGCUACGACUGGAAAAUUGAUGGAGGGCAAAGAUGAAGACACGGGAAUGUGGU
This is a long non-coding RNA of Haliotis rubra (blacklip abalone), 179 nucleotides long. RefSeq lists it as uncharacterized. NCBI's taxonomy places the organism in Eukaryota, Metazoa, Mollusca, Gastropoda, Lepetellida, Haliotidae. The transcript has 4 exons. The record is from RefSeq and is a predicted model, not a curated record.